Molecule: ribosomal RNA, 689 nt
Filed under: uncultured Hyphomicrobiales bacterium
Lineage: Bacteria; Pseudomonadati; Pseudomonadota; Alphaproteobacteria; Hyphomicrobiales
Description: bacterial SSU rRNA
Rfam family: Bacterial small subunit ribosomal RNA
Source: RNAcentral
UCAGAGCGAACGCUGGCGGCAGGCUUAACACAUGCAAGUCGAGCGCCCCGCAAGGGGAGCGGCAGACGGGUGAGUAACGCGUGGGAACGUACCUUUUGGUUCGGAACAACACAGGGAAACUUGUGCUAAUACCGGAUAAGCCCUUACGGGGAAAGAUUUAUCGCCGAAAGAUCGGCCCGCGUCUGAUUAGCUUGUUGGUGAGGUAACGGCUCACCAAGGCGACGAUCAGUAGCUGGUCUGAGAGGAUGAUCAGCCACAUUGGGACUGAGACACGGCCCAAACUCCUACGGGAGGCAGCAGUGGGGAAUAUUGGACAAUGGGCGCAAGCCUGAUCCAGCCAUGCCGCGUGAGUGAUGAAGGCCCUAGGGUUGUAAAGCUCUUUUAACGGGGAAGAUAAUGACGGUACCCGUAGAAUAAGCCCCGGCUAACUUCGUGCCAGCAGCCGCGGUAAUACGAAGGGGGCUAGCGUUGCUCGGAAUCACUGGGCGUAAAGGGUGCGUAGGUGGAUCUUUAAGUCAGGGGUGAAAUCCUGGAGCUCAACUCCAGAACUGCCUUUGAUACUGAGGAUCUUGAGUUCGGGAGAGGUAAGUGGAACUGCGAGUGUAGAGGUGAAAUUCGUAGAUAUUCGCAAGAACACCAGUGGCGAAGGCGGCUUACUGGCCCGAUACUGACACUGAGGCACGAAAGCG